RNAcentral lists this non-coding RNA (25 nucleotides) under Rattus norvegicus (Norway rat). The record is from RNAcentral. Lineage: Eukaryota; Metazoa; Chordata; Mammalia; Rodentia; Muridae.
GGUUAAAGAUUUUCCACUGCCCUCU